This 550-nucleotide long non-coding RNA is filed under the name Mustela putorius furo (domestic ferret). RNAcentral's name for it is "lncRNA (ENSMPUG00000029164.1)". Lineage: Eukaryota; Metazoa; Chordata; Mammalia; Carnivora; Mustelidae. The record is from RNAcentral.
CUGGAUGGCCAGUACUACUUGUGAUUAGCACGGGGAAGGGCAGAGGGAGAGAGACAGGCAGACUCCUUGCUGAGUGCGGAGCCAGACCUGGACUCUAUCACUCCUUCUUCUUAGCUGUGCUUGGGUGUCUCCAGUCCAGAAACCUUCUCUCCAGGGGACAGGCCUCUAAUAUUUCUCCAGGUGGCUAGAACCAAGAGACACUGCUCAAGACAAUAUAAACACAGCAUAUCUUUGUUCAAAUUUUUAAAAAGUGACUGCUCUGGGAAACUGAAGAUGUCUUUGCUUUGUCAUUGAACUGAAUAAAAACACUCACCUUGCAGAGAUGAUUUACAAAAUCAUCUUUUUGGAUGGACUCGUGAUAAACAGCUGCUGUGUCUCUCAUUUAAUCCCUAAGCCAGUGUGAUAGAAAAGCAUGGUCUGACUUUUGCCACUGAUCCAUUUUCUACCAUGGGGAUAAGACCAUACUCUAAGGAAUGGUCAAACAACAAGAAAGAAGGAACCUGAGUCCUGGAAGGCUUUAUGGAACAAAGUCUACCCCAUAAAAACCAGA